GGGCCCGUCGUCUAGCCUGGUUAGGACGCCGCCCUCACACGGCGGAGCAGUUCUUCAGCCUGCUAGACGCCCU
This 73-nucleotide transfer RNA is filed under the name Pyrodictium delaneyi. RNAcentral's name for it is "tRNA-Val". The record is from RNAcentral. Lineage: Archaea; Thermoproteati; Thermoproteota; Thermoprotei; Desulfurococcales; Pyrodictiaceae.